UACGUAGGUGGCAAGCGUUGUCCGGAUUUAUUGGGUUUAAAGGGUGCGUAGGCGGCCCUGUAAGUCAGUGCUGAAAUAUCCCGGCUUAACCGGGAGGGUGGCAUUGAUACUGCGGGGCUAGAGUACAGAUGAGGUAGGCGGAAUUGACGGUGUAGCGGUGAAAUGCUUAGAUAUCCGGAGGAACACCGGUGGCGAAGGCGGCUUCCUGGACUGACACUGACGCUGAGGCGCGAAAGCUAGGGGAGCAAACGGG
This 253-nucleotide ribosomal RNA is filed under the name uncultured bacterium. Its description in RNAcentral is "partial 16S ribosomal RNA". It matches the Rfam family "Bacterial small subunit ribosomal RNA", at positions 524 to 776 of the family's 1533-position model. The record is from RNAcentral.